AGUGCUGGGGCCUAGCUUUGGGCACCCACGCAGAACGCGAAGCUUCCUCCCCCGCGCAGCCUCUGCCUCCCGAAUCUGGUGUGAUGCCAGGCGCUGAGGAUACAAACGACCCAGGAGGGGCGGGUACACCACCUCGUCUGGACACUCUUCCGGGAGAGCUGCGAGGCCGGACCUCCACGGCUUUGUGGAUAUUGUGUUUUUUAACAAAACUAAAGAUCUGUGGCAGCCCUGCAUCAAGCGAGUCUACUGGUGCCAUUUUUCCAACAGCAUUUGUUCCCUUCGUGCCUCUGUGUCACAUUUUGGACGUGAGCACACAGCGAGAAGGUGCCUGUCUGUGAGUCAGGAAGAAGACGCUCAUCAGAACCCAACCAUCUGGACUUCCCUGGCGGUCCAGUGGUUGAGACUCCGUGCUUCCACUGCAGGGGGCACGGGUUCUAUACCCGGUCAGGGAAAUAAGAUCCUGCAUGCCAUGCGGUGCGUCCAAAAUAAAACAAACAAAAACCCAACCAUCUUGGCACGCUGGUCUCAGAUUUCCAGCCUAUAAAAUGUGAGAAAAGAAUAUUUGUUGUUUAAGCCACCCAGGCUACGGUAUUCAUUAGAGCAGACUGAGCUAAGACAGAAUUUUGGUACUGUGAGGUGGGAUGCUGCUGUAACAAAUACCUAAAAAUGUGGAAGCAGCUUUGCAACAGGAUAAUGGGUAGAGGUUGGGAGAGUUUGGAGGUGCAUGUUAGAAAAGAUCAAGAUUGCCAUGAACAGGCAGUUAAAGGUGAUUGAGCUGAGGGCCUACAAGGAAAAGAGGAGAGCUAUAGAGAAAUGUCCAUCUUCUUAGAGAAAGCAUAAAUGUCAUGAACAGAAUGUUGGUACAAAUAUGGGCUAUAAAGCCUGUUCUGGUGAAGUCUCAGAUGGAAAUGAGGAACAUGUUAUAAGACAAUGGAGAAAAAAUGAUAAAUUUUAUAAAAAUGGCAAAGAACUCGGCACAAUUAUGUUCAUGUUUUAUGGAAGGUAGAACUUGUGAGAAAUGAAAACGCAUGUUUAACUGAGGCGAUUUCUAAGCAAAGUGUUGAAGGAGAGGCUUGGUGCCUCCUGACUGCUUAUAAUAAAAUGUGAAAAGAGAGGAAUGCAUUGAAGAAGCAAUUGUUAAGUAGAAAAUAUCCUGAGGGCUUCCCUGGUGGCACAGUGGUUGAGAAUCCGCCUGCCGAUUCCGGGGACACGGGUUCGUGCCCCGGUCCGGGAAGAUCCCACAUGCCGCGGAGCGGCUAGGCCUGUGAGCCAUGGCCGCUGAGCCUGCGCGUCCGGAGCCUCUGCUUCGCAACGGGAGAGGCCACAACAGUGAGAGGCCCGCGUACCGGAAAAAAAAAAAAAAAAAAGAGAAUCUGCCUGCCAACACAGGGGACAUGGGUUGAGCCCUGAUCCAGGAGGAUCCCACAUGCCGCGGAGCAACUAAUCCCGUGCACCACAACUACCGAGCCCGCACUCUAGAGCCUGCGAGCCACAACUACUGAGCCCACACGCCACAACUACUGAAGCCCGCUGCGCCUAGAGCCCGUGCUCAACAACAAAGAGAGACCACUGCAAUGAGAAGCCUGCGCACCACAGCAAAGAAUGGCCCCCACUGGCUGCACCUAGAGAGGGCCUGUGCACA
Long non-coding RNA from Physeter macrocephalus (sperm whale), 1642 nucleotides. RefSeq lists it as uncharacterized. NCBI's taxonomy places the organism in Eukaryota, Metazoa, Chordata, Mammalia, Artiodactyla, Physeteridae. The record is from RefSeq and is a predicted model, not a curated record. The transcript is spliced from 3 exons.